UUGGAUCCUUUUCUUUAUUUAUUUGAUGAUUAUAUUUGAUAUUUAAGGACUGUCAACAAACUCCCUCAAGCUUACCUCUUGCUCAUCCCUGAGCAAGGAUAGUCUCAGUGAUGGAUCAGAAGUUGCUAUAAUGCCUUAAAAUGUUGACGGUACACAUGCUUUCAAAUGAGGUCUCGUCUCUGAGUUAGAGUAAACUGUUAAGACUUUAAACUUACUCAUUUUACCUUUCACUAUGGGGCUUGCAACCGUCACUUAUGUCUUGAGCAGUUAAAAGAUAGAACGGUCUAGCCAAGCGCCAUGUCUCUUAUUCUUUAUCAGCUAUUGCUCUGGAGUUUUUGUAGUUUUUCAAAUAAAACUCAAAGAUUCCUUUGUAUGACUCUCUCAGAUCUCUCUUUUAUGGUAUUUCUGGAUCCUUACCAAGGCAGUUAUGGUAUAUGUCUUCUCUCAAAGUAUGUGGUAUUUGUAGUAUAAGGCAUACUGACAUUGCCUUCUCUCUCAUCCUACUCUAAUAAGGCUUUGAUAUCUGGAGCUCAUAGGUGGGAGAUAAAGUAUACAUACUUACAAGACAUUUAUUGCAUAGUCAAACCAAGGAUCUAGAGAAACAAGUCAAUAAGUCAAAUCAAGAUGUGCAUGUGUGGCGAAUGAAUGGUGUAUGGUGAUGAUGGUGAAAGUCUAAUUCUACUUUUGCUCUUUUGAGGGGAUACAUACCUUCCUUGCACUUUGAUGUUUUUUGAGGAGAAUGAGAUGCUCUAUAUAUUUUUUUUUCUUUUCUCUCAGGUGGGUAUCUUGUACCCCUAAUUCUACUGUCGGACACUUGUCCAUUUUUACCUCUCGUCUCACUUUUUCUUUUCUUUGAGGUUUCGGGCACCUGCCCCAUUUUAUUUCCUCGUAUUCAUUUUUUUUUCAGAGCACUCAUCUCCCUGGAAUAAUAUAGCAAGUGGUAGUAACCAAGAUAACUUGAGCAUUUAUUUCAUAGGGAAUAACAGGGAUAGGAGAAUGUUUUUGGUUAUUCUCUCCUAGAUAGGAGUAGAAUAAUUUUAGGUGGAUCUGGAGAUGGAAAUGAGUGGAUGUAUGUGGAUGCGUACUUCUGGAGUAGAAGCAGCAUAUAUGAGUGAACGUGCAAGUGGAUCUUGAUUUUAACCGCAUGACAAGCUCCUAAGGGUCUACACAGCUUGACCAAACUCAAUGCUCAUAAGCAGUAAAAAGUAAAUGUAAGGUUUAUAGUCUAGCAAGCAUGUAUGUAUGGUUGUGGUAGGAAUUUAAACUCUCAUCAUAUAGGAACUCAUCAUGUGAUAUUCUAAAGAUUUUCAAAGAUAAAAUUCUCUAGAAUUCUAACAUCUCUAGGAACAGAUAAACAACAGCUCAACCUUCCCAUAUCAUAUCCGUUGACAACUUAGACUUUAGAUCAAGUUCUCUUCCCACAACUUCAGGUUUAGAGCAAGCUUUAAAUUAUAACAGUUAUGUCUAAACUUGAGAGAGAGAGCUUCAAAUUUGAAAAUUAGGCAGAGCAACUAUUCAUCAUAUCCAUGCUAGAGUUUUAUUAUUAAGAUUCAGUUUAGCAUAGCUACUUUAUUUAUUUAUUAAGCAAACUACGCAAAGAUAUAUAUAAGCACAAAAUAUUUAUUUGGGUUUUCAUGAUUAUGUAUCUUUUUAUUUUAAUAUAGUUUAAGUAUAAAUAUGGAUAGAAAUACUUAGCGGGAUAAAUGGGGGUGCUCUCCCCCAAGCUAGAUCUUGACGUAAUUACUUUUGAUGUAGCUAGCAGGUGGCAGAGAUGUAUUUGAAUGUCGGCAGCACCCUGACAGCGAUUAGGAUAUCCUCCGUCUGCUAGUCUUCUUUGAAUUCUGUGGAGCUCAAAUAGACAACAAAGCUUUGUGGAACUCAUUAAGUGUUAGCAUCGAUACCUAGCCUUUAUCAUGUUGAGCUUCCUCAAUAAGUGUUACUCUCUAUUUUUAUAUUUUCAUUUUAUGGAGCAGGAAAAAUUAUUUUUUUUUGUUUUUUUGUGCCACCACAGUGAAUGUACUUAUGGGUUUUAUGCCACGAGCAUACUCACAUGGGGCUUACUGUUUUUAACAUUUUUAUUUUCUUUUUAAGAUAGUAUGAACCGGAUUAACUAAACAAGCUUUUUAAGAAAAAGUAAAUAAUAGAAGGGAAAGUGAUAACUACCAAGUUUACCUCUUGGCACGGUUUUUGGUGUUUUUAAGUCCUCCGAACGGGACUCCUUGUGUUCUCAGUCGUCCUGGGAUUCGCUGGAUGGCGUACGGCGGUGCCUCCUCUUCGUGUAGAACUAUCGUUUCUCUCCACACCUGACUUGGUGCUAUGGUCUCUUGUUCAAGCUGUAUGUCCUCAGACCUUACUACCUCUCCUUCGUCGUCUACCCAUCCGUCCUUGAUGUUUUGCCUCCUCUGAUUGCGGUUGCAUUGCCUUCUUAUCCUGACCUGCUUAGAAUCUUCAAUAUAGUUAGGGUCAUUAAAGUAGCGGUGUACCUUCUCAGAGGGGAAGUGCAUGUGAACUUCUCCGGUUCCAAUGUAGAUGAUCGCUUUGACGGUGCUGAGGAACAGUCUUUCGAGGAUGAUGGGUGGAUUGUACUCGUCUUCUCCCAUGUCAAUGACUUAAAAAUCUGUAUGGACAAAAUGGUCGUCUAUUUUAACAGAGACAUCAGUUACUAUACCUUCAACCUUUCGAAUGUCUGAUCUGCUAUCUGGAGCUGAAUGUAUGUCAGUUUUAGGGGCAUGGUUCUGAACAGAAGCUGAUAGGUGACUCUAGCCAUUAUGUUGACGCCUAAUCCAGUGUCGCAGAGUGUCUUUUGGAAAUAGUAUCCAUUGAUUGAGCACUGGAUGCUUGGCACACCUGGGUCGUCAUUUUUGAUCAGGAAGGGUGACUUGAGUUGACGAUCUUGGCCUCUGUGAACUGCAGUGACCAUUAUGGCUGACUUGGUCCACACUUGCUUCUUGCUCUUGUUCCUCCUGUUGGUCCUUUUCCUUGGUUCAUAUUGGGGUUGUUCUGGGAUUUGUGUAGUCUUGUUCUUGAAGGAAAACGUCUCCUUCCUCCCCUUGAUGUAGAAACUGAUCUUGGCAACACUAGCGUAGAUGACAGCUCCCGAGGUGUUCAGGAAUGGCCUCCCUAGGAUGAAGGGUGCCCUCUCAUCAGUACCGAUCUCUAUCACCACGAAGUCUACUGGGGCGUACAAGGUACCAACUCGGACACAGAUGUUCUUCAGUAUUCCUUUUGGAAAGCUCAGUGUCCGAUCUGCAAUCUUCAAACACAUGGUUGUUUCUAAUAAAGGAUGUGUAAAGAAUUUUUCAUAGAGUACCCAAGGCAUAAUGUUGACGCUGGAGCCAAAUUCACAGAGUGCCUCUGGGAAGUCCACCAUGCCGAUGGAGAUGAGGAUGACGGGGCGUCCUGGAUCACCUCUCUUGACUGGCAGAAGGUCGUUAUGUACUUCCACAACGGGGUUACUCCAGUAGUUACCUGCAUCAAACAUGUCUACAAGAUUUGCAGAUUCUAAUCCUUCUGGUUGUGAUGGUAUACUGGGGUUAGUAGCAGGAACAACAGUAGCUAUUUCAUUCAACUGAGAUUCAAUCAUUUUAUUAAAGCUAAUCUGGUUCUUGAUGGAAGUAGAAAAAUUAUCCAUUCUAUUAUUUAUAUUUUCUAGCAUUUUAUCAUUUGAUGCCAAUUUCUUAGACACGUUAUCCAUUAGCUUUCCUUGAUUAGACACUAACUCUCUCAAAGGUCGAUAAUUAUUAUUAUUAUUGUAAGAAUUGUUACCCUGAUAAUUACCUCAGUAGUUACCUGGGUAGUUAGGCCUCUGUUGAUUCCAACCUUGAUUUUGUUGAGGACGGUUGUAGUAGUAGUUGUUGUUGUUGAUGUAGUUCACGUCCUCAAGCAUCUCAGGGCAGUGAUUGCCUGAGUGUCCAGUUUCUCCACACUCUUCACAAGUCAUGUGAGAGUUGUAGACGUGCAUGACUUAUUUCUUGUCUCCAGCUUUGUCAUCGAGCUUCUUCACGAGCAAGUCCAGCUUUGCAGACCUUGGAGGAAAGGAUGAACUGGAAUCCCAAACCCCCUCUUGAAAAAAACUUCAAAAACAACGAUCUCACCAGCGCGAGGGUCGGGGUAACUUUCCCCCUCUGGAGCCCUCCAGCCGCCAAGAUCCUGAUUGUGUAGGAGUCCCAUCUUGACGAGGUCGUUAAGGGACAUCAUGCUGCUACGGGACGUUUUCCACUACUUGGCCAUCAUCUCAGCCCUCUCCUUGGUGUCGCUCUUUGCCAUUUCCUUCUUGCGGAAAGAUUUGAACUCGGAUUUGGGGGAUUGGAGGUGCUGGGGAAGAUGAAAGCUGGGCAAUAGUAUAUGAUUGCUGGGUAUAGAACAUGGGUGUGACCUUGGGCUUUUUAUAACAACAGCCCCACCUCUACCACUUCCCGCACUUUGGGGAAGUGGGUGGACUUUUCAGCGAAUGCGGCGUUUCGGUUUUCAAGAGCCACCACAGUAAAUUUGGUGGUUGUUUUUUAAUAAUUGUUGGUUUCCUUUCUUGAUACCCGCAAUGAGCGGAUGUACAGUUCGCAGGCUCCUCUUUUUAUGCAGCAUACUGACAAAAUGACAGGACUCUCUGUCAUGUUGCGCAUUAAUGUGGUGAUAGGAUUUUUCCAGAAAUAGGUAGAAUCUUUGGUUAGAUGGAUGUGAUAUACUUGGGGACUGUACCGACCACCGAGCAUUAAAUGCUCGAGGACUGGUCGACUAGUCUGCCUUUUCGACAACCUGUGACUGCACCGACCACCGAGCAUGGUACGCUCGGGGACUGGUCGACCAGUCUGUUUAUGAAGCUGGGGACUGCACCAACCACCGAGUAUGGUAUGCUCGGGGACUAGUCGACCAAUCUGUUUAUGAAGCUGGAGACUGCACCGACCUCCGAGCACGGUAUGCUCGGGGACUGGUCGACCAGUCUGUUUAUGAAGCAGAGGACUAUGCUGAUUAUUGAUUGCAUACGAAUCGACUUCACAUGCAACUGAGAGGCAAUUUAAUUAUUUUUAGACCUUGCUACAAGGCACAUACUUCGCCUUCCAGCAGGCUCGGGGACUACAUCGGUACGAUGCAUCUAGCGAUGCAUGUUAGUGUCAGAAAUUUUAAGAUGAGUUUUCUUUUUAGACCCUGGCACCACGUGCCUACGACCACCUACUACCAGGCUCGGGGACUAAGUGGGCACACUUCACCUUGCGGUGAACUUGUUUGUUUUGAGCAUACUUUGCUAUGCAGAAAAGUAAAGUGGGCACACUUCAUCAGGAAAGAAAUAUUUUUUCUCAAGAGCACCAUGCAUUCUUCGAACAACUGGCUUCUUCGAUGUUGAUGUUGGUCAACUGGUUUUUGUUGACACUAGCUAACACCACUUAGAUACUAGGUUGUCAUCCCCAGCAUGGUGCCAGAGUGUACAAAGGUAUUUAUAAAUGUAAAGGCUCUCUAGAAAAUAAUCUAUUCUAUCUGCAAGCGCACAGAUAAAACACCUCAUUGUAGCAUUUCACCAGGAUAAGUAUUCCAGGUAUCGUUAUUUGUAAUUCUGCUCAAGAGAACAAAAGGGAUGAAAUUAAAAUAAGGACAAAAUCUAUCAAGGCAUAGACUAGAGAUAAACUUGCAAGAACACGAUUACUAAUGAGAAACUCGUCACACAGUCACUUACUUUGGUAGGAGGUAAACCAUAAAGAUAAUGAUAAUGAAUUAUAAGUUCAAGGGUAAAUAACACAGCGAUUAGAAAAUAGACUACUCCUCAUAUAUGUAGGUGACAUCGGAUUAGCUAGAGAAUGGAUUCUAAGUUAUCUACUAUCUACUAAGUCACAAUCUACUCUAGUUAUGUACAAGAUCAUAUAUAGCAUAAAAGACUCUUCAUUUAUGUAUAAGGAACAUUGCUAAAGUAAAUCAGAGCAUCGCAAGGCUUACUCCGCAAUACAAGUUCUGCCUGUCCUAUCAACGGAGGGUGGACUAUAUAAGAAUCAACGAAGCUGUCACUAUCGCGAACUACCACACGACUCGGCCAAUAGGAUACAUUUGCAGGUAAAUAACAUCUAAGCACCACGCCCACAUGUGAUCUACCACUUAACUCCCUCGCGUCAAGAGCUAAGCGCUUUGCAAACUUAUACAUAAACUCAUUAUCAAUCAUACCUAUAUCAAAUAUAGAACUAGAGCAAACUAAGAGCAUAAUAAAUAAAGACAUAAUGUAAUUAGAACAAAGUAUUAGAGAAAGAUAUGAAUAAUACCAAUCUUUAUUACCGAAGAUCCGAAUCCAGAGCGUAGUGCUCUACUUCUCUAAUUGCUAUCUAAUCAAACCUCUAAACUUGAAGGACUAGGGAGUAGCUAAUUCUAAUUCUCUAUGGGAGAGAAGCUCUAAACCCUAACUUUGAUGGCUACCUCUGAUAAUGAUUUCUCCUCUUCUCUUCUCUCCCCCAGGGGUGGAGAGGCCUUGGUUAUAUAGUCCUUUCAAGUGAAUUUGGGCCGUCAGAUCAAACCGACCUUGAUUGCAUGGUUUAGAUUCAUCCUCAAAGGCACUGGAGCAUAGUCCCGAAAGAGAGUCCUGAUUGGACUCUAACCCUGGGCGAGCGCCCAAGGGGGGUGGGCGGCCGCCCUGCCCUCGAGCCCGAUCGUCUUCUCGUUCGUUCCCGUGGCUUCUGGACUCUUCUAGAUUGAGGAAAAUUGUGCGGCAUGUAAUCAUCUCGUUGUAAACAUGACAUGUGGGCCUUCUCUCCAUAUUCUCUGAUAACCCCUGCAGAAAUAGAUAAACACCAAAGCUCGUGGAAUUCUGUUAAAUAAAACCCUAAUUCUAGAUAUUUGGUGCAUAUUGAUCCUUUUCCAUGUUUAUUUGAUGGUUAAAUUUAGUACUUAAGGACCGUCAACAAACUCCCCCAAGCUUACCCUUUGCUUGUCCCUAAGCAAACAGCUAAACUCAGACGGAUCAGGAGUUGCUUCGAUGUUUUCUUUCCUCACAGGCACACAUGCUUUUACAUGCUUUUACAUAAAAUUCUUCCAGAUUAGAGUGAAGUGUCAUGGAGCCUAGUACCUGCACUUAAAUCUUAAGUAAUCGAAAGACAAAAUAAUUAAGUCAAGCACUAUUCCUCCUGUCUAUACUUUACCUUGGUUCCAGAGUUUUUCAUAAGUUUUCAAAAUAAAACUCAGAGUUCCCAGCAAUGAUUCUCUCAAGUCUCUCUAUAUGUGGUAUUUGUGGAUCCAUACAAAAAUGUCACUUACCUAUAGCUAAUAGAAUAUUUAAGUGGAGCUCAUAGGAGUGAAAAACAGCUCAUACAUAUGUUGUCUAAUCGAGCCAUGGAUCCAAAGGAACUCAGCAUAUAAUUAAAUCAAGAUGUGCAUGUGUGAUGGAGUAAAUAAUAGUGAUGGUAAAAAUGUGUAAGUGAUGAUAAAACUUACUUCUCAUUGCUCCUCAUAUUGCUAUCUCUCCUCUUCUGUGAUCUUUGCUUUGGGAGAACAUGGGCUAUCUCUUUUUUUUAGGUGGGUAGUAGAUACCCCUAAUUCUACUGUCGGACACUUGUCCAUUUUUACCUCUCGUCUCACUCUUUUUUUUCUUUCUUUUCCGAGGUUCCGGGCACUUGCCCCUUUUUAUUUCCUCGCAUAUUUUUGCAUAACCCAUGCCUCUUCUGCAUUGAAUCUUUUUAGAUAGAGAAAAUAAAAACACUUGGGACAGUGAGUGAUAAUAUUUUUAGCAAUUUUAAUGACUAGUGGAUGGUGUAGUGGAUGUGUGCAAGUGAAUAUCUUAAUUUAACCACAUGAAAAGCUCCUAAGGGUCUACACAGCUCGAUCAAACUCAAUGUGAAUAUAGUAAAAGAUGUUAUAGCAAGUAUGGCUGUGGUAGGUAGUUUGUUAUGCUAGGAACUCAUCAUGUGGUUUUUAAAUUUUCAAAAUAAAUCUCCAGAACUUAGUGUAGUAGGAACAAGAUAAACAGCAGCUCAAACUUUAUAUUAUGUCCUUCUUUUACCUAGACUUUAGUUUUAUGCUUCCUAUAGAUAGUAAUUUCAGUUUUAGUAAUUCCUGGAAGAACUCUAAUAUAAAAGCUAGGUACUUGAAAGUAAGCAAACAGAGCAACUGUUCAUCAUUUCCAUCAUGCAUCUUUUUGGUCUUUUUAUCUUUCUAUAGAUUAACACUUAGUAGGAAAAUAAAGCACACUUAUCUACACACUCUUUUUAUUUUGUUUUCAUGUUUAUAGAAUGCAGUAAAUUAAAGCAAGAAAAUAUUUAUUGGGUUUUCUAAGUUUUUCUCUUUAAGAUAAAUAAAACACUGGAAUAGAAAAGAAUAAAUAAGAAGAGCAAAUAAAAACUUACUUGAUAAAUUGGGGAGGAACUCCCCCAAGCUGGAUGUUGCUGUCAAUCUUAAUCAAUAUUCCAGAACCGCAUCAUGGUGGUGAUGUUAUCGUUCAUUGUUGUGGUAUCUUGUCUUAGCUCUUGCACUGCAGUGGCAUGGUCCUGGUUCCAUUUUUGUUGCUCUUCCAGGAGUCUUCCAUGUUCUACUUGCGUAUUCUGGAUGUCGAGGAGAGUGUUGUCGGUGCGGUUGAAGAAAGCGCUGGCCUCUUGGUAGUAGUCAUUCGUGAAAGCGUAGGAGGCGCCGGAGUAUCGUCCUGCAUCGAAUUGGGGCAGAUGUCUAGAUCCUGAAGCUCUAUAAGGAUCAGUGGAGUACUUGCCCGUAUGAAAAGGCGGGUUUGUCCACUGGUGAUCUUGGCUCUCCGGCCAUGUCUCCUGUGUAGGCUCUUGUGGUUGCGCAUGUCGAACCCAUGGGUCUCGAAGGACUCGGGGGUUGUAAUCACGAUAAUGCAGGUGCGCUGCUUCUUCUGGUCCGGGAUCAGCUCCAUACCAGGUGCGUUGCCGAUGGGUGGUCAUCCUUUCAGAUGCCACUUGUUGUGGAGCUCUCUGGUUCACCGGUGUCACUGCAAUCUCAAUCAAAAAAUUUUGAACAACGUAGAGGCCAAGGUUCGGGUUAGGUAACUAAAUCUUGCCUUUAUCAUCAUAUAGCAUAUACAUUAGGUUCCCUUCUUUCUUUAACAUCCGAGCUUGUCUAAAUGUGUCAUAGCCAUGAUAAAUUCUUAACUCAUCUAUGAAGUCCAAUGACGAGUUUUCUAGCAAAUGAAGAUUAGAGGCUAGACGAGUGAUAAGUGAAGUACAUCCUACUGAUCCCUGAAGACUAGGUAUACUAAGCCAAUGAGAAACCAAAAGUGUAACAGGUGAAGUGGGUACUUUAUUAAUAGCAGCAUAUAAAAGUUGUAAAUCUCCUACUCUUACUUUCCUAAUAUCAUCACGAUAGAAAAGAUUGUACCCAAGCCAUUUGUGGAACAUCCUAGAAGUGGGGUGUUCCAUGUCACUGGUUCGGGCUUGACUAUAAAAAUUAUCUCUAGAUAUCUCUCUCCAGAACUGGUGUCUCUCAAAAUUAGGUAGGUCGGAGUCAAUGUUCAGGAUGCAUCUUGAAGAGAAACCAAGAUGGUCGCUCAGUUCUUUCCAAGACAACAUAAUCUCCUAUUUAAACAUCCAAAAAACAAUUCCCCCCUCAUAAUAUUGUAAAGUGCAAAGAAAUUCAAGGGUGAGAAGACGAGAACCCAGCUCAUUUAUAUUCCAAAAAUUUGUCCAACCUAGCAUCUAGAAAAUUAAGUCAAAUUCAGUGUCCAUACCUGUUUCUUGUAGCAAGAUUGGAUCAAGAGUAGGGGUGUGAAUGAAAUCUUUGUUCUUCAGCUGCUGGUAGACUUCCUUCUCCCUGCGGGUCUUUAGUCCAAGGUCUCCUAUCUUGAGAAGGACCUUGACUUGCUGAUUAGAUGAAUAUGACGAAGCUUGUGUGGGCGUUGGGUCGACGCUCAUCUCGGACAGGUGUGAGGAGUGUCGGGAUGAACUCCUUGUACCUAUGUUCUUGAGAGCCUUCCCUGCGUUCUUCACCUUCUUGAACAUCCUGUAUACAAAAGUUGGCAAAAACACAACUAGUGGAAAAUGUGAGAGAAAAUAUUAGUGGUCAGCUGUUCGGAAUGUCAGUAGUCUAGGGGUUAGUCGUUCAAGACAAGUUUUUAUUUUGGCAGAACCUCCCCUUAAACAACUUUUAGUUCCGCUUGGACAGCGGGAUCACUACUUACUAGGUGAAGCUCACUCUCUCACUCAAAAACUACCAACUUCUUUCCCACUCUUCUCUUUCUCUCUACUCUCUUCUCACUUCACUACAAGAGCUCCUUCUCUGGAAACUGAAACUUGCGUGGUUUUCUGGAAUGCUUGUGUGAAGAAGUUGGAGGGAGGAAGAGGCUAAUUAUAGGAGGAAGAGGGGGCAGGGCGGGCGCCCUCUAUAGGUGGGCGGGCGCCCACCUUUGGUGCCCAUCCUGGCUGCCCUUUCUCCACUCCCUUCUUUGCUUAACUCUUACGCAAAAUAAUGGAUCAUGGGUGGUGGUUGGAUCGUGGAAAAGUGCUGGUGAGUGGAGUUAUGUUAGUGGAUCAAAUAAUGUGAUGGGAUGUAUGUGAGGUGUGGUGUAUGACAUGUGGGACCCAAGGAGUGUGGGUCAUGCUUCUAGAAGAUUACUAUAAUUAAAUAUAAUACAGAAAAAUCUAUGAGAAUUAAAACUUAUUUGAAAUGAUAAUGAAAAAUAUUUUUGUGCCUCCACAAUAAUUAAUAAAAUAUGGGUUGUUACACACCAUAAUUAUUAUUUAUACAUGGCUUUUUAUUAUUAUAAUAAUGCAAUGAAUAUAUAUGACUAAUGCAAGAAUUAAUUAUGCAAGAAUUAAUGAUGCAGAUAAAUACCGAUUUACCUCCCGUUGAGGGUUUGGGAUUUAUAGGUCCCCCAAGCUGGACCUCCAAAUCUUUUAAUCUUCUGAAUUACCUUCCUCCGAAGAUGGUGUCUCCAGUGGUUCUUCUUCAUGAACUUCCUUCACUGUAGAGUCUCUCUCUGGUCUGAGCUUGAAUGUGAAGUAUUCUUCUUGUCCGUUUAUGUUGCAUUUAAUUUCUCCUUUCCCGACAUCAAUGUGGGCAUUGGCGGUGCUUGUUGACGGUCCUUAAGUAUCAAAUUUAAUUAUCAAAUAAACAAAGAAAAGGAUCCAAAUGAAAUCAACAUCUAGACUUAGGGUUUUAUCUGUCAGAAUUCCACGAGUUUUGGUGUUUGUCUAUUUCUGCAGGGGGGUAUCAGGAAAUACGGAAGAAAGGCCCACACGUCGGGAUUACAUAGAGAUAUUAACGUGCUGCGCAAUUAUCUUACAUCUAGAAGACUCUAGAAGCCACGGGAAGGAAGCGGAGGCCGAACGGGGCCAGGGACUGGGCGCCCGCCCUCCUGCAAAGUCCAAUCAGGACUCUGUUUCGGGGAAGAUCUCCACCGACCUAAAGGAUCAAGGAUAACCGUUAAAUCAAUGUCGGUUUGAUCCAACGGCCCAUAUUCACUUGAAGGGACUAUAAAACCAGACCCCCUGGCCCCUGGAGGAGAGAGCCUCUCAACCCUAAUUCAUUAUUCUUCAAGGGAGAAGAAGCCUCUGAUCAAGAUUAGAGCCGCCACAUCAAUUAGACAUCUAGAUUAGCAUAGCUACAUAGGAUUAGAACUAGAAGGAGUCAAUCUUCGAUUGGUUUCCGGAUCUGUCAAGAGGAUUCUUGGUAAUUCUCUAAUUGUGAUUCUAAUUGUUCUUCUAAUUAUCUUUGUUCUUCAAUAUUAUGAAUAUGACUUUGUUCUACUUCAAUAUAUUGCUUAUGACUUUGCUCUACUUGUUUAUAUUCAAGAUUAUAUUGUUCUUAGUUUAUCAUAGUUAUGUACUUGGCUUAGUUAGAUUGGAUCUAUAUACAUGCUUAGGAUCGUAUAGCGUUUAUCCAUCAGAUCCAUGGGCAAAUGAUAGAUAUUGUGUAGGCGUGGUGCUUAUGCUGUAUUUAUCUGCGAUUGUACCCAAUAUGCCAGAUCGUGGGGUAGUUCGUGAUAGUGACAGCUUCAUUGAUUCUUAUAUAGUGUCACACCCCAAAAUAUGUACUUUGGAAUGUGACUUAGAAAUCACUAAAAACAAAGACAAAGAAUUUAUUAUUUUUAUAAAAUGUUCCAACUUUAUUAUGUUGCCAACAUGUUAGAUAGUGGAAAAAUAUGGGCUUCUAAUUUUUCUUUGCAAUUUAACUUAGUGGUUUGUUGCACUCAUGCCGUUGCACAAUGUUUAUACUUGAAAAAUGAAUUUAUUUGUUUCCAAAAUACGGCUAGGGUUUCAUCACAUCUUCAUAUCCCUAAAAUACCAAAUCGGUAUUCGAAACUCCAAUCAAGUCUUUUGCUAACAUCCAACAAAAAUCUAGCAUGUCCUAUUCUCUUUCUCUUUCCUUUCUUUUCUUUCUUGAGCUCUCAAUCAUUUUCGUGUCCACGAAGUAUUCGGGCCAAUUUCUAUUGUCUCUCAAUCAUUCAUUAUAAAUGAAUCUUAAAUUUCCUUGCUCUUUCCUGUGAAAACAACAUCCCUCUCCUUAUGCUAUAGCCCCUACUUUUUCCGUUCAACCAAAAAUAACAGUUACACAUAAUGCUCAUUCACAAAUUUUCUUUGAUGCAUUUUCUUUUAAUCACCACCCCUUAAUCUCUCCAUUUUAUUUUUGAGCAGUAACUAAAUAGCAGAGCAUGGCCAGACUCCACAUUCCUUUACAGAUGCAAUACUCCAAUUGUUCUUCUUAUCUUCAAUUGCAUGAAAGCAUGCAGCAGCUAUUAAUAUAUUAUUUCCUUCCCAUUCACGUGGAGAAGUAGCCCCUUCCUUCAUAGUCAUCCUCUCGCCUUUCUCCUGUCACACAAUAUUCUUCCACCUCAUGCAAAUGACAAUACCAUUUAAUCUCUCGGUCCCUUAAUUUCCUAGCUCAACUCCUCAGUAUAUUAGUUCUAUAUAAUCUUCUUUAUGUCUCUGUUUUGAUCAAGCUCUAAUGCCCAUAAACACUAAAGAAAAUAGACUAUAUAGUUGAGAAUAACUUAGGUAAUAUUCUUGUAGUUCGUUCUAAUACCUUGCUAAUGACUUUCUAGAGUAUCUAAUUGAGGUGCUUAUCAUAUUUAUUAUGUGGCUAGUUAUGAUCAGAUUAAUUAUCUUUGUCACUAUUCAUUACUUCAUAUAUCUUUUAUGUGACACUUACCCCUGUAUGAAAGAGUUAGAUAAAUGUUCUCAAUUAUACAUGCAAUGAUAGAUACUCAAUCUCAUAUUCUAUUCUGUAAUCAAUAUUGAUGAUUGUUAAUCCCUUCUCAGUGGUAAAAAUAUAAAUAACGAUACCUGGAAUACUUCUCGGUUAAAAUGCUGCAUUGGUAUUAAUCUGUGCGCUUGCAGAUCUCAUUCAUUAUUUAUUUAGAAGAGCAAUUACAUAUUUCAAUACCGCGUCUCUCAUGUCAUGCUGGGGAUGACAACUUGGCUUAAGUGGUAUGAUGGAUAGGUUUGGCAUUUUUGGCACCGUUACUAGAAUUAGAAAACUGUCUACUUUUGGUAAUGAUGUUAAGAAUACCCAACAAGCAUUUUUGGCGCCGUUGCCGGGGAAGGUUGAUUACUAAUCAGGAAUGGAAUAAAGGGUUUUGAGUUAUCAUUCACAUCACUAUUAUGAUUGAGCUUAUCAAUUCUCUCAUACAGUUUUACCCUGAUAUUUUCCUAUUUUAUCUUAUGCAGGGGAAUGUAUGAAUAGAAGACAUCUUCCAGGAAAUUUUGUUGACAAUCCCGAAGCCUUAUUCAGAAAAACAAGAGCCAAGCUCAAGAAGAGAUCAUCAACACUUCAGCAAGAAGCUUCAUCUAAUCAAGAAGAUCACCGGAACUUGUCUUCUGAGUUCGAAGCCAUGGCGAACAAAUCGAUCCGUGAGUUCUCAGCUCCCACUACAGACAACAUCCGCACUGGACCUGCUGCAGAGAUCGAUGGCAACUUUGAGCUCAAGCCUAGACUUAUCAACAUGGUGCAAUCCAACCAGUUCUGUGGGAAGGCACACGAAGAUGCUAGUGCUCAUCUCCAACACUUCCUGGAGAUUUGCAACACAUUUACCAUAUCAGGAGUCCCCAGAGAUGCUAUACUACUUCGCCUCUUCCCAUUCUCACUGUUAGGAAGAGCGAAGCAGUGGUUCUACGCUACAAAGGAGAAGAAUACUACGUGGGCACUCUGCUCAACAAACUUCCUGGCUAAGUGCUUUCCCAUGGGCAAGACCAAUGCUCUCCAUAGGAAGAUUACAAGUUUUCAGCAACAAAAUGAUGAAUCCGUUCCAGAAGCAUGGGAUCGCUUCCAAGACUACAUCCUAGAAUGUCCCCAUCAUGGAAUGGAGAGUUGGCUACUGAUGCAGACAUUUUAUCAUGGGCUCGGCAAUAGUGCCCGAGAGACCAUGGAUGCUGCAGUUGGAGGAGCAUUCCUAUCACUUACUAUACCACAAGCCACAACUCUUGUGGAGAAAAUGGCAUCCAACCAAAGCUGGAAUGAAGAGAGGACCCAGACACGCAAGAGAGGUGGAGGUAUGCAUCAGCUCAAGGAGGUAGACAUGCUGUCUGCAAAGCUAGACCUGCUCAUGAAGAAGCUCGAUGAUAGAGCUGGAGAAAAGAAGGAAGUUAUGCACAUCUACGACUCUCACAUGACUUGUGAGGAGUGUGGACAUACUGGACACUCAGGCAAUCACUGUCCUGAGAUGCUUGAGGAUGUGAACUACAUCAACAAUAACAACAACUACUACAACCGUCCUCAACAAAAUCAAGGUUGGAAUCAACAGAGGCCUAACUACUCAGGUAAUUAUCAAGGUAACAAUUCUUACAACAAUAACAAUGAUUUUCCACCUCUGAGAGAGUUAGUGUCUAAUCAAGGAAAGCUAAUGGAUAAUCUAUCUAAGAAAUUGGCAUCUAAUGAUAAAAUGCUAGAAAAUAUAAAUAAUAGAAUGGAUAAUUUCUCUACUGCCAUCAAGAAUCAAAUUAGCUUUAAUAAAAUGAUUGAAUCUCAGUUAAAUCAAAUAGCUGCUGUUGUUCCUACUACUAAUCCCGGUAUACCAUCACAACCGGAAGGAUUAGAAUUUGCAAAUCUUGUAGAUAUGUUUGAUGCAGGUAAUUGGAGUAACCCCAUCACAGAAGUUACUACUGACCUUCUGCCGGUCAAGAGAGGCGAUCCAGGACGCCCCGUCAUCCCGAUCGCCAUUGGCAUGGUGGACGUUCCAGAAGCACUCUGCGACUUUGCCUCUAGUGUCAACAUUAUACCCAGGGUACUCUAUGAGAAAUUCUUUACAUAUCCUUUAUUAGAAACAACCAUGUGUUUGCAGUUUGCAGAUCAGACGAUAAGUUUUCCAAAAGGAAUACUGAAGAACCUUUGUGUCCGAGUUGGUACCUUAUAUGCCCCAGCAGACUUCGUAGUGGUAGAGACCGGUAAUGAUGAGAGGGCACCCAUCAUCCUAGGGAGGCCAUUCUUAAACACCUCAGGAGCUGUCAUCUAUGCUAGUGCUGCUAAGAUCAGUUUCUACAUCAAAGGGAGAAAGGAGACGUUUUUCUUCAAGAACAAGACUACACAAAUCCCACAUCAAUCCAGACAUGAAUCAAGGAAGAGGACCAAUAGGAGGAACAGGAACAAGCAAGUGUGGACUGAGUCAGCUAAGAUGGUCACUGCAGUUCAUGGAGGCCAAGAUCAUCAACUUAAGUCACCAUUUUUGACCAAGAAGGACGACCCAGGAAUGCCAAGCAUCUAUUGCUCCAUAAAUGGAUACAACUUCUAUAAGACGACUUGCGACAUUGGAUCGGGCGUCAACAUAAUGGCCGCAGUCACCUAUCGGCUCUUGUUCGGAACCAUGCCCUUAAAACCAACAUACAUUCAGCUCCAGAUGGCAGAUCAGACAUUUCGAGAAGUCAAAGGAAUAGUAACUGAUGUCCCAGUCAAAAUAGACGAUCAUUUUGUCUACACAGACUUUCAGGUUAUUGACAUGGGAGAAGACGAAUACGAUCCACCCAUCAUCCUUAGAAGACCAUUCCUCAGCACCGUUAAAGCAAUCAUCUACAUUGGAACCGGAGAAGUCCAUAUGCACUUCCCCUCAGAGAAGGUACGCCGCUACUCUAUUGACCCUAACUAUAUCGUUGAAGAAUCUAAGCAGGUCGGAAAGCGACGCAACCGUAAUCAGAGGAGGCAAAUCAUCAAGGACGGAUGGGCAGACUAUGAUGCAGAAGUGGUAAGGUCAGAAGACGUAGAGUUUAAACAGAAUUAUCCAGAGGAGACCGAAGCACCGAGUCAGGUAUGGAAAGAGAAGAUAACUAUACAUGAAGAGGAGGCGCCGCUGGAAGUACCGACUACGCCACCCAACGAAUUUCAGGACAACUAGAAAACGGAGAGUCCCGUUUGGAGGACUUAAAAAAACACCGAACGCCUUGCCAAGAGGUAAACUUGGUAGUUAUCCUUUCCCUUUCAAAUAGUUUACUUAGUUAAUUAUGUUCAUACUAUCUUAAAAAGAAAAUAAAAAUGUGAAAAAUAGUAAGCCCCAUGUGAGUAUACGAGUGGCAUAAAACCCAUAAGUACAUUCACUGUGGUGGCAUAAAAAUAAACUAAAUAUUUCCUUUCUGCUUUAUAAAAUGAAAAUAUAAAAAAAAUUGGGAGCAAUAAUUAUUAAGGAGUCUCAACAUGAUAAAGGCUAGAUAUUUAUGCUAACACUUAAUUAGUUCCACAAGCUUUGUUGUCUAUUUGAGCUCCACAGAAUUCAAGAAUCAAGAAGACUAGCCGACAAAGGACAUUCUAAUCGCUGUCAGAAUGCUGCUGGCUUUCAAAUACACCUCUGCCACCCGCUAGCUACAUCAAGGGAAAUUACGUCAAAAUUCAGCUUGGGGGAGAGCACCCCCAUUUAUCCCGAUAAGUAUUUCUAUCUAUCUAUCUUUAUACUUAUACUAUAUUAAAAUAUAAAUAAUUAUGAAAAACUAAAUAAAGAAUUUGUGCUUAUAUAUAUGUAUCUUUUGCUUUAGUGUGUUUAAUAAACAAAUAAAGUGGCUAUGCUAAUCUGAAUCUUAAUAAUAAAACUCUAGCAUGGAUAUAAUGAAUAGUUGCUCUGCCUAAUUUUAAAAUUUGAAGUUCUCUCUCAAGUUUAGACAUAACUGUUAUGAUUUAAAGCUUGCUCUAAACCUGAACUUGUGGGAAGAAAACUUGAUCUAAAGUCUAAGUUGUUAACGGAUACGAUAUGGGAAGGUUGAGCUGCUGUUUAUCUAUUCCUUGAGAUGCUAGAAUUCUGGAGAAUUUUAUCUUUGAAAAUCUUUAAAAUAUUGCAUGAUGAGUUCCUGUAUGAUAAGAUUUUAAAUUCCUACCACAGCCAUAUAUACAUACUUGCUAGACUUUGAGCCACACAUUUACUAUUUACUGCUUAUGAGUAUUGAGUGUGGUCAAGCUGUGUAGACCCUUAGGAGCUUGUCAUGUGGUUAAAUCAAGAUUCACUUGCACGUUCACUCAUAUAUGCUACUUCUACUCCGGAAGUACCAUCCACAUAUAUCCACCCAUUUCCAUCUCCAGAACCACCCAAAAAUAUUCUACUCCUAAUCCGGGAGAGAAUAGCCAAAAAUAUUUCUGUUUUUCCUUGUGAAAUAAAUGCUCAAGUUAUCUUGUUACUACCACUUGCUAUAUUAUCUCAAGAGAUGAGUGCUCUAUAUAUAUAUAUAUAUAUAUAUAUAUAUAUAUAUAUAUAUAUAUAUAUAUAUACGAGGAAAUAAAAAGGGGCAAGUGCCCGGAACCUCGAAAGAAAAGAAAAAAGUGAGACGAGAGGUAAAAAUGGACAAGUGUCCGACAGUAGAAUUAGGGGUACAAGAUACCCACCUGAGAGAAAAGAAAAAUAUAGAGCAUCUCAUUCUCCUCAUAAAGUUUCAAAAAGCAAGGAAGGUAUGUAUCAACUCAAAAGAGCAAAAGUAGAAUUAGACUUUCACCAUUGUUAUCACCAUCAUCACCAUACACCAUUCAUUUGCCACACAUGCACAUCUUGAUUUGACUUAAUGAUUUGUUUCUCUGGAUCCAUGGUUUGACUAUACAAUAAAUGUCUUUUAAGUAUGUAUAUUUUAUCUCUCACCUAUGAGCUCCAGAUAUUAAAGCCUUAUUAGAGUAGGGUGAGAGAGAAGGCAUAUACUAUCACUGCCUUGGUAAGGAUCCAGAAAUACCACAAAAGAGAGAUAUGAGAGAGUCAUACAAAGAAUCUCUGAGUUUUAUUUGAAAAUCUGCAAAAACUCCAGAGCUAUAGCUGAUCAAGAAUAAGAGACAUGGCACUUGACUAGACUGUUCUAUCUUUUAACUACACAAGACAGAAGUGACGGUUACAAGUCCCAUGGUGAAAGGUAAAGUAAGUAAGUCUUGACGGUUUACUCUAACUCAGAGAUGAGAUCUUAUUUAAAAAGCAUGUGUACCGUCAAUUUUUAAAGUAUUGCAGCAACUUCUAAUCUAUCCUUGCUCAGGGACGAGCAAGAGGUAAGCUUGGGGGAGUUUGUUGACGGUCCUUAAGUAUCAAAUUUAAUUAUCAAAUAAACAAAGAAAAGGAUCCAAAUGAAAUCAACAUCUAGACUUAGGGUUUUAUCUGACAGAAUUCCACGAGUUUUGGUGUUUGUCUAUUUCUGCAGGGGGUUAUCAGGAAAUACGGAAGAAAAGCCCACACGUCGGGAUUACAUAGAGAUAUUAACGUGCCGCGCAAUUAUCUUACAUCUAGAAGACUCCAGAAGCCACGAGAAGUUAGCGGAGGCCGAACGGGGCCAGGGACUGGACGCCCGCCCAGUUGCCCUGGGCGCCCGCACUCCUGCUGAGUCCAAUCAGGACUCUGUUUCGGGGAAGAUCUCCACCGACCUAAAGGAUCAAGGAUAACCGUUCAAUCAAUGUCGGUUUGAUCCAACGGCCCAUAUUCACUUGAAGGGACUAUAAAACCAGACCCUCUGGCCCCUGGAGGAGAGAGCCUCUCAACCCUAAUUCAUUAUUCUUCAAGGGAGAAGAAGCCUCUGAUCAAGAUUAGAGCCACCACAUCAAUUAGACAUCUAGAUUAGCAUAGCUACAUAGGAUUAGAACUUGAAGGAGUCAAUCUUCGAUUGGUUUCCAGAUCUGUCAAGAGGAUUCUUGGUAAUUCUCUAAUUGUGCUUCUAAUUGUUCUUCUAAUUAUCUUUGUUCUUCAAUAUUUUGAAUAUGACUUUGUUCUACUUCAAUAUAUUGCUUAUGACUUUGCUCUACUUGUUUAUAUUCAAGAUUAUAUUGUUCUUAGUUUAUCAUAGUUAUGUACUUGGCUUAGUUAGAUUGGAUCUAUAUACAUGCUUAGGAUUGUAUAGCAUUUAUCCAUCGGAUCCAUGGGUAAAUGAUAGAUAUUGUGUAGGCGUGGUGCUUAUACCGUAUUUAUCUGCGAUUGUACCCAAUAUGCCAGAUCGUGGGGUGGUUCGUGAUAGUGACAGCUUCAUUGAUUCUUAUAUAGUCCCCCUCUCCUGUAUUGGGUUGGCAGAGCAACAUUAUUACAGGGGAGUGAUUGCUAUGUUUCUCAUAUUCCUUGCUAAUAUCACUAUGCAUGGGCGUAGUCUUGUCUCGCAAUGAUUGCUAAGUAUGCUUGCACUAACUAUGAUAUGCUAGACUAUAUAGUUGAGAAUAACUUAAGGAAUAUUCUUGUAGUUCGUUCUAAUACCAUGCUAAUGAGUUUCUAGAGUAUCUAAUUGAGGUGCUUAUCAUAUUUAUUAUGUGGCUAGAUCAGAUUAAUUAUCCUUGUCACUAUUAUUAUUUCAUAUAUAAUUUAUGUGACACUUAUCCCUGUAUGAAAGAGUUAGAUAAAUGUUCUCAAUUAUACAUGCAAUGAUAGAUACUCAAUCUCAUAUUCUAUUCUGUAAUCAAUAUUGAUGAUUGUUAAUCCCUUCCCAGUGGUAAAAAUAUAAAUAACGAUACCUGGAAUACUUCCCGGUUAAAAUGCUGCAUCGGUAUUAAUCUGUGCGCUUGCAGAUCUCAUUCAUUAUUUAUUUAGAAGAGCAAUUGCUUAUUUCAAUACCACAUCUCUCAUGUCAUGCUGGGGAUGACAACUUGGCUUAAGUGGUAUGAGGGAUAGGUUUGGCAUUUUUAGCACCGUUACUAGAAUUAGAAAACUGUCUACUUUUGGUAAUGAUGUUAAGAAUACCCAACAGUGCUCAGAAAUGGCCUUCCAAGGAUGAUGGACACUUUUGAGUCAGGACUCAUGUCUAGUACCAUGAAGUCUACUGGCACCAGGAAAUCUCUGAUCUUGACUGGAAUGUUUCCGGCGAUGCCCAACGGGUGUGUUGACACCGUUUUUGGGCACGUGUCCAUGAUCGGUAAAAGUAUAGAUCGGCAGAAUAAGGCGGUGGUGUUUGGUCUGCAGGGAGAGUUGCCGAUGGAGAUGGUUGCCGAUGGAAGGGUGAGUAAACGUGAUUAAGUCCAUAAGUGGUGACAUAUCUAUGCCGAUGGCUACGACAAGGAAGUCUGCCGUUGAUAUAGAGAGAAAGUCUGGGAGUUGAUGAUCGGUCUGUGGAGGUGUUCCAGUUUGUUACGGGGGGAUAGUUUUACGUUUUCCUUAGUUAUUUAAAUCGUUUUGUAAACGGAUUCUGUGUAAUUUGGAAUUCGAGUUCUAGUCGUGUCUGGUUGUAGCUCUUUGAGCAGGGUAUAAAUGUAGACCCUAGGGCCUUGUAAUGAGACAUCUAUCAAUCAAUCAAACACACGUUUUUUACUCAUAUUCCAGCAUCUACUUUUCGACGACUUCGUCAUACCUUUCCCUUUUCAUUACGAGUUCUUAGGAAUUCGUCGACUUAAGCUCGGCGUGUUCUCAAAUUCCGCGUGAAUACCUCUUAGCCGUGACAUCCUUGCGCAUCGCUGUUGUCAGGACUAAAGUAUUCGAGUUAUCACCUUUGCUGAUAGUAUGGUCAAAUCGGCUGGGACGCCUUAACGUUUGAACCGGGUAUUAGCCCUUUGUGUUUGCAGAUCAGCUUUUGCACCAACACAUCUUUUGGCACGCCCAGUGGGACCGAUCCAAGAUCAAGAUCAACAUGUCGACUUCUGAGUUUGAUCAAGAGAACGUCAUCCCCGUGACGGAAGCCAAUCUCAAGGAUGAGCAGAAGCAAGCUAUUGCUAAAGCCAUGGAGGAUUACAAGCAGCAGUGCCUGAGGUCCUUCAGCAUGAACAGGAGCGGCGAAGUGAUUCAGAAGGAUGCACUGCCGGCGCCUCGGCAGGUCACUUUUGAAGCCAAUCUUGGCAAGCUUCAAGAGAUGGUUGAUAGCGCUAUCAACUGUGCUUUGAUCAACCAAGCUGGCGUACUGUCUAGUACGGUUUUCAAUGCCGUGGCAAGAACUUUCAAGGAAGGACAGAUGCCGCCAGAUUAUGUGGGCCCUACUUAUCAUCAGCCAGGGUCACCAGUGGUCACAGCUCCAUCGGCUGCUGCGGCCGCUGCGGGUUCACAAACUACCGUUCCUCCAAGUACGUUGGGAGUCACGAAUACACAAUCUACACCGAUGACAACCAAUCCACAAACUUCAAAUGGGCAGAUUAAACUAACUACAGAUAUGUUGUCAUCGGCAAUGUCAGGAUUAACUCUUCCUCCCAACUGGUGGGGUUAUGGUAUGCCUCCAGAAUUAACGCCGAGUACGUCGCAGACAACUGAUAUGAGAGGCAAGACUCCUAUGGCAUCGGCACCUCCCAAUGCGCUGAUGAACCAGAGUCCCCGGUAUACUACAACUACUACUACAAGACCUCAUACCAGGAAUCCUCAAGAUCCAAUGUUCCAGAUGCCUAAUCCAUCGGUAGAUUCAAUGCUGAUGCAACAGAGGUUUACGACUCAACCAGGGUAUGUCAGUUCGAUGAUCAUGCCCAAUUACCAGUCAUCGGCAGGGCCUAUGCCGAUGAACGCUAAUAACGGAUGGCUUGGGCAGCAAGUCUUUCCGCAAACGCCCCAACAGAAUCACCAGGCUACAGGGUUCCAGCAAGGACAGGGCUUUCCCGGAUUCCAGAAUCACGGGAUCCCUAACCAGCCAAUGAAUCUCGGGCAGCAAGUCGGUGGACAGCAAAUUGGCGGGCAACAGCUUGGUGGUCCACAGAUUGGAGGUCAGAUGAUCAACCCAAUGUUCCAUGCAGAUCGAGCACCGCACCGACGCGUGGAGGCGUACCAGCAGGUGCCGGAUCCGCAACCUCCUCAUCGGCAGGAUGCCGAUGCGUACUGGGCCGAUAAGAUUGCUGAAGUGAUGAGAGACCAAUUCGGGAUAAAACCCAAAGUCAACGCUUACUCUUAUCGGACACCGUAUCCUCCUGCAUAUGAUUUGAUCCCGCUUCCACAUCGGUACAAGGUACCGGAUUUUACUAAAUUUUCUCGGCAGGAUGACACGUCAACCAUGGAGCACGUCAACAGGUUCAUCAUUCAAUGCGGUGAAGCUGGUAACAGGGAUGAGUUAAGGGUUCGCUUAUUCUCGUCAUCAUUGUCUGGAUCGGCUUUCACUUGGUUUAUUUCAUUACCUCCCAACUUAGUGAUUACUUGGGCCGAUCUGGAGAAGCAAUUCCACAAAUACUUCUUUUCUAGGGUCCAUGAGAAGAAGAUCACCGAUUUAGUCAAAUUAAGGCAACGCAAUGAUGAAUCGGUUGAGAGUUUUGUGCAGAGGAUACGGGAGGUCAAAAAUAAAUGCUAUAGUUUGGUUUUGGAUGAUCGGCAGCUAGCCGAUUUGGCUUUCUAGGGUUUGUUGCCACACAUCAGGGACAAAUAUGUUUCUCAGGAGUUUGAAAGCUUAAGUCAUUUGGUGCAGAGAAUUUCUGAUCAAGAUAUCAAACCUUUUGAGCCCAAGAGAGCAUGGAACAAAAAGGUAUCUUUCGUUGAUGAAGCAACAAGCUCAGAUUCUGAUGAGGAACCAGUCAUCGGCCUGGCAUAGUGGGUAAAGAAUAAGAAGCCGAUGUCUUGCCCUUUUGGGCAGAAGGAACCAGGGAAGUUCGCAUUUGACACCGCUAAGGCCGAUAGGAUAUUUGACUUUCUACUUCAGGAAGGUCAGAUCAAGCUGUCUCCUAAUCACGUGAUACCAUCGGCUGAGGAGUUAAAGAGGAUGAAAUACUGCAAGUGGCACAACGCAACUUCGCACGACACCAAUGAGUGCAAAGUUUUCAGACAGCAGCUGCAAUCGGCUAUAGAGUCUGGGAGAAUCAAGUUUGACAGUUCUAAGACCCAGAAACCGAUGAAGAUCGAUCAACAUCCUUUCCCAACGAACAUGUUGGAUGCUAAGGGAAAGGCUAAGGUUUUAACAUCGGAAGCAGCCAAAAGGAGUGCAUCGGUAGAUCCUCAGCAUCAGGUCACUACUGCCGAUGCAAGAGGAAGAGGCUUGGUCCAGGAAGGAACCAGCUCAGGGAGGCCUCCCUGAUCUGGUAUCGUUAUAACCCACAGAAGGCCUCGGGAGAAUUGGCAACAACAUGAAGAUCGGUACCGGCGCCAGCAAGAGGAUCAUCGUCGGGAAGAGAAAAGACGCUGGCAAGAAUGGAAUCGGCACAGGGAUCACUGGAAUUGUCCGUUCUUCAUUCAUUGUUAGGAGGAGAAUAUUAAGCUUCCCACUGUCAGAGACUGCCCUGAGUGCAACGGUUAUGAUCGGUAUGAUAGGUCCGAUCGGCACUAUCACGACGAUAAUCGGCGAUCUAAUGGGCCGAUCAGAGGAAGAGCGUCUGUUCAUGAUCGGCUGGGGGGCAGGCUCAGCGUGAACGACAGGCUUGGUGAUCGUGUCCAAUAUUUUCCCAGGAACCAGGAAGAGCUCGAAGAGAUGGCUAAUGCACGAGUUCCCGAUGAGUUCAUAUUUUGCAGGGAUGCCAAUACGUAUCGGAUGGAGUGAGGGGAAAGUCGUCGCCCUGCAGCAAGGCAGAACCCGCUUCCUCCAUGGUGUCCAGAGGGGUUGACCAAGACAAAAAAAAAGGAGGUUGCAAAGCGAAAGGCGAGAAGGGCUAGGCAAGGGCGAGAACUCUGGUCAGUCUGGGGAUCAGCAGCAGUUAGGUCCCAAAGGGGAAGGUCCAUCGGCAGACGUUAACAUGGUCUUUAUGUUGCCAAUGGAGUUUCUUGCUCCAUCCACUGAUGAUGAGCUGGGUUUCUCUGACCAAAUACCUCAAUUGGCUCUGGAUCCGAUGACAGCUAUCUUCGAGAAGCCUGCCGAUGAUGAGAGGCAACAUCUCAGGGCCCUGUUUGUCAAAGGAAGGGUUGAUGGGCAGCCGAUGACCAAGAUUCUAAUUGAUGGUGGGGCUGCUAUCAACAUCAUGCCGUAUGCAGUGUAUCGGAAGCUUGGGAAAGGGGAUCAAGAUUUAACCAAGAUCGAUAUGAUGCUUAAAGACUUUGAAGGGAAUGUGUCUCCGGUCAAGGGGGCAAUAUGUGUGGAGUUGACCAUCGGCAGCAAGACCUUGCCGACAACCUUCUUCAUGAUCAGUGGAAAGGGUGCUUACAACUUGUUGUUGGGAAGAGACUGGAUUCAUGCUAAUUGUUGUAUCCCAUCUACAAUGCACCAAUGCUUGGUUCAAUGGGUAGGUGACAAGAUUGAGAUUGUCCUAGGAGAUUCUUCUUACGUCAUCGCAUCGGCAGAAGCGGAAACCUAUGAAAGGACUAGGUGUAUUUCGGGAGAAGUAUGGGAAAAGGAUUUUCUCAAGGUUGCCGAUUACGAAAUUCCACCGAUCCAAGCAGUCGGUUCCGAGGAUGGUUUUUAAUGGACAAGUUCGCCGAUGAUGGAAAGUUAGGCCAGGGAUUCACAUCGGCCGAUGAUUUGGUAGAAGUACAUAUAGGUAGUGGUGAUAAGCCUAGACCCACUUUUAUUAGUGCUAAGUUAGAUUCUGAGUGUAGGCAACGGUUAACCGAUUUGUUAAAGGAAUAUAAAGAUUGCUUUGCUUGGGAUUAUACUGAGAUGCCUGGUUUGGACCGAUCAAUUGUUGAACAUCGGUUGCCUAUUAAGUCUAGAUUUCGGCCACAUCAGCAGCCAGCUCGCCGAUGUAAUCCUAAUAUUCUUCCUGACAUCAAGGCCGAAAUAACCAAACUUAUUGAGGCCAAAUUUAUUCGGCAGUGUCGGUAUGCCAAAUGGAUUUCCAAUGUUGUUCCGGUCUACAAGAAGAACGGGAAGCUUCGAGUCUGCAUUGAUUUCAGGAAUCUUAAUAAAGCUACACCGAUGGAUGGAUAUCCAAUGCUAGUUGCCGAUUUGCUAGUUAACGCUGCGGCUGGGCAUCGGAUUAUUAGCUUUAUGGAUGGCAAUGCAGGAUACAAUCAAAUAUUCAUGGCCGAAGAAGAUAUUUCAAAAACCGCGUUCAGGUGCCCUGGUCAUGUUGGAUUGUUUGAAUGGAUAGUCAUGACCUUUGGUUUAAAGAAUGCUGGUGCUACUUAUCAGAGGGCCAUGAAUUUUAUAUUUCAUGAGUUCAUCGGCAAGCUGGUGGAGAUUUAUAUUGAUGAUGUGGUGGUUAAGUCUGAAGACUUUGCAAAACAUCUUGCCGAUUUACGAAAGGUGCUGGAAUGUACAAGGAAACAUGGUUUGAAAAUGAAUCCCAAUAAGUGUGCAUUUGGUGUAUCGGCAGGGCAAUUUCUUGGUUUCAUGGUGCACCAGAGGGGAAAUGAAAUCAGUCGAAGAUCUAUUGAUGCCAUCAAUAAGAUAGUAGCCCCUACCAACAAGACCGAGCUCCAAUCCUUGACCGGCAAGGUAAAUUUUAUCAGAAGGUUCAUUUCUAACUUGUCUGGUAAAAUUCGUGCUUUCAGCCCUCUUCUUAAGUUAAAGGCCGAUCAAGAGUUUGUUUGGGGGGAGGAACAACAGUUGGCUCUGGAUGAAAUCAAGAAGUAUUUAAUAAAUCCUCCAGUUCUAAUUCCACCUCAGCAAGGGAAGCCCUUCAGAUUGUAUUUGUCUACCAAUGGGAUGGUCAUCGGUUCGGCUUUAAUUCAAGAGUUUGAAGGAAAGGAGCGUGUAAUUUAUUAUUUAAGCAGGAGGUUGAUUGAUGCUGAGACCAGGUAUUCGGCUAUUGAGAAACUGUGCUUGUGCCUAUAUUUCUCUUGUGUCAAGUUAAGGCACUACUUGUUAUCGGCCGAAUGCACCAUUAUUUGCAAAGAUGAUGUGGUCCGGUACAUGCUAUCCAUGCCAAUUAUGAGUGGCAGGAUCGGUAAGUGGAUUUUGGCGCUGUCCGAGUUCGACCUGCGCUAUGAAUCGGCUAAGGCAGUUAAAGGGCAGGUUAUGGCCGAUUUUGUAACGCAACAUUGUGGUACAGUGGAGGCUUUGGGAAUUGUGCCUUGGACGCUCUUCUUUGAUGAAUCGGCAUAGUGUUAGUUUCCCCUUUGGGAAGGAAGUAUGAGUUUUCCUUGCCGAUUGUUGCCACGUCAACAAAUAAUCAGGCUGAGUAUCAGGCUUUGAUAAAAGGAUUAGAGUUGUUGAGGGAAGUUCAUGCUGAUGCUGUCGAAGUCUUCGGGGAUUCUAUGCUGGUUAUAAAUCAAUUGGCUGGAAGCUAUGAAUGCCGAAGUGAAGUUCUCAUAACUUAUUAAGAGCGGAGCAUACAAUUAUUAAAGGAAUUACAGGGAUUUCCGAUUAGAGUAUGUUCCUCGGUUGCAUAAUGAAGAGGCCAAUCGAUUGGCUCAGCAUGCCUCGGGGUAUCAGCCUAUGAUUGAUACAAUAUCGGCAAUUGAUGCCGAUGAUUGGAGAAAAGAAAUCAUUGAUUAUUUGAAAGAUCCGUCCAAGAAAGUUGAAAGAUGGGUUCGGUUUCAAGCCACCAAGUAUGUGCUCCUCGAAGAUGAAUUGUACUACCGAACUAUUGAUGGAAUUCUUCUUCGAUGCUUGGGUGAUGAUGAAGCUAGAAGUUUGAUGGGAGAAAUCCAUGAAGGGGUAUGUGGAGCACAUCAGUCGGCUUUCAAGAUGAAGUGGAUGAUUAGGAGGAAUGGAUAUUACUGGCCGACCAUACUUGAAGAUUGCUUCAAAUAUUUCAAAGGAUGUCAAGGGUGUCAAAGGUUUGGCAAUAUUCAAAGAGCACCCGCAUCGGCCAUGAAUCCUAUUAUCAAACCUUGGCCGUUCCGGGGAUGGGCUAUUGAUCUGAUCGGACAAGUUUAUCCACCGUCUAGCAAGGGGCAUAAGUUUAUUUUGGUUGCCACUGAUUAUUUCACUAAAUGGGUUGAAGCCAUUCCUUUGAAGAAGGUCACGUCGGCCAAUAUGAUUGAUUUUGUGAAGGAGCACAUUAUUUACCGAUUUGGGAUUCCUCAGACGAUUACUACCGAUCAAGGCACUAUGUUCACAUCGGGGGAGUUUGAUGAAUUCGCAAUCGGUAUGGGGAUUAAAGUGUUGAAUUCCUCUCCUUAUUAUGCUCAAGCUAAUGGACAGGCCGAGGCAUCUAACAAAGGAAUUAUCAAGCUUAUCAAACGGAAAAUUGAAGAAAAUCCUAGAAGGUGGCACACAUUGUUAAAUGAAGCCUUAUGGUCCUAUCGGAUGGCUUGUCAUGGAUCAACUAAGGUUUCACCUUAUCACUUGGUAUAUGGACAUGAUGCAGUGUUGCCUUGGGAAAUUAAGGCUGGCUCUAGGCGACUCUCUUUUCAAGAUCAGUUGGCUACCGAUGAUUAUGCUACUUUGAUGACAGACGAGUUGGAUGAUCUAGCAGGGCAUCGGCUAAGGGCUUUGAUGAGUAUAGAAGAGAAUAAGAAAAGAGUUGCUAGAUGGUAUGAUAAGAAGGUAAAGGCUAAGGAAUUUGCUGAUGGAGACUUGGUGUGGAAAUUAAUCUUACCAAUCGGGACUAAGAGUUCAAAGUUUGGAAAGUGGUCUCCCAAUUGGGAGGGUCCCUAUCGGAUAAGUCGAUCUGCUCCUGGUAAUGCCUACAUUCUGGAAACACUCGAAGGUGUCGCAUUAAACGGCAAAUAUCUGAAGAAGUACUACCCCAGUAUAUGGGUUGAUGCAUGAAGAUUUAAAUGUCGAUGACACUCCUAUCGGCUGGAUUAAAAUGUAUCAGGGGCCGGACUUAAUGUUGCAAAAGGAGCCGAUAACAGUCCUAUCGGCUAGACUAAAUAUCAAGAGAGCUAGAGAACAGAAAGAAGCCGAUGUGUUGCCGAUGAGGAGCUCACAUAUUUAGCAGCGCUUGGAUAGCCGAUAUAGCGCGUAGGCGGAUCUGGUUGGCUGCUUCUAUUUCUUUAAUGUCUUCAUCGGCAGAGCCUUCUAUCGGCUUCAACUUCUUCAACUGAAGCGCCUUGCGACCAUGAGCAUUUCACUCUUGCUCGAGGAGCUUGAUGGUCUCUGGCAGUUGGCUUUUUUCCUGUUGGGCUUGGGACAGGGCAUUCUCCACCUGUUUGAGUUCUACCAACAGGGCUUCUCGUUUUGCCGAUAGGUCGGAAAUCUUCUGUUUUAGUGUGUCUCCCGAGGACUUCAGGGUGCCGAUGUUCUUGUGCUUCUCAUCGGCCAAAAGCUUCUCUUUCAUCAUCUCCUCAGAGAGCUGGGUCUGAGCAGCUCUGUCGGCAAGGCGCCGGGCGGCUCUCUGGUAUUGCAGCUGACGACUUUCUAGAUGUGCGGCCUGGAAAAGGACUUCCUCGGCAUCGGCAGGAAUCUGACCCCUAAGGGUCUUGAACAGAACCUUGGCCGGGUCAGAGUCAUCGACCAGUUGAGCCGUGUCUUGAUGGAGGAGAGCCGACAGUUCUUCCAGCUUGGCCCUGAUCUCUGCCAAUGCGAUCCCAGCUGCCCGGGAGGAACUCGCUUCCUCGCCUUCGUCCUCGGAGAUAUCAAUAGCAAAGGAGAAUAGGCUGUCAGGAGAAUCCUGUUCCUAAAAAGGAAGACAAAGUGAGCCAUUCUAUGGUCAGAACGUCGGCAAAUAAUAUUGAUGGAGAUUGGGUGACUUACUUGCUUCAAGGCGAUCUCUUGCCUUUGACUGGAAGAUGCCGAUGGAACCACGGGUUGAUCGGCCAGAGUUGCUGAUGGAACUACGUCAGCUGGAGAUUGAUAUGAGUGGUUAUAAGAUGGAAAAAUAGGUUCAUUGGCACUAACUUUGUAAAUGUGUUACCUUGAGGAAGGGCAGUACUUGUCUGAAUAGAGGAAACCACCGAUGCUAUGAUGGAACCUGCUGGAUCGGUAGUUGGUUCGUGAACAUCGGCCGAUGUGCCUUCUGGCUGAAGUACUUCUUGUUGAGGUUCUUCCAGUUGAGGUUCUUCCACCUAUGGUGCUUCUUGCAUUGGAGGGGGGAAGGUGCUUGCUGAGUCUCUGCUUCUGGAGGAGAAGGAGAGGAUUCCACCGGAAUAGGAGAUACCGGAGGAGGAGGAGUUGCCACCUUCUGGUGCUUUGUAUGUGCCCUGGUACUCUUGGCAUCUUUUCUCUUCUGCUGGCUGGACUGGGGGGCAUCGGCACUUGUACUUUUGGUUCUUGCCAAUGCACUGGUUUGCUGUUACAGAAAGAAGAAUUUAUGGGUGUUAAUAUAGCCGAUGCAAAAGUAAAAUCGGUAAAGAGGUUUAACAGUUACCUUAAAAGCCUGUGCUAAGGCGGAAGUAGCUACCGAUGGUGAUGUUUGGGUCCUCCUGGUGGUGAAUUUUUUGAGGCAUAUGCCUCGGUGCACGAUGGCGGCCAGGGUAGGGGCAUUGUUGCCGAUUGAGGAGAUUGGACCUGAUGGAAAUAGGUCAAUCGGCUUGCCACUCCUGCUAACAGAUAGGGGGGUGUCAUCAACCUGAAAAGUCCCACAGAGAGAAAGUUACCGAUGGACAUAAGAAUAUAAAAAAAAAUGAAACAGCAGUUCGAAAAAUACUUAUAGUGCCAUCGGGAACUUGGUAUUCAGGAUCGAUCAAGCCGCGAUAUGUGAGAGCCGAUUUGCAGAACAGAUGUUCCUUCCACUCUACCCACCAUUGCUUGUACGCUUGAGUGAUGAAGGCAGCCAGGACCCACUCUGACAGGUCUACAUCUGUAUCGGCACUUGAUGGCAGCUGGGCUACUCGAAUCCAUUCAAGGAGGCUGGUGAUGGUUUCCCUGGGCUUUAUCACAUCAGCAUGACAGAGUGCAAUCAGCAGCUGGCCGAAAGCUAACUGACAAGCUAGUGUCGAUGGAUUGUAGAAUUCAUAAGUCUGGGGGGAGGUUUUUCCAAUGCCAAAGAAGUUCACUGGUAUGGCUCUGGGAGUCACCAAUGCCAUCAUCAAUUCAUUGUUCUUAUCAAGAGCCUCGUCGAACGGGUUGAAAACUAGAGGAAAUACGGUGUCUGGGUCAUCAUAAGCUAACCAUGCUUGCUCAUCUCUGGCCAAACCCUCAUACAAAGUUUGGAAGAAUCGGCUUACCUGAUCUGGAUUACCCCCUGAACUAGGCAGAACUAUGACAGCUUCAUCAAAGUUUAAGGGAGCACGUGUUGCCGAUUCCUCUUCACUCGACACAUGGUUUUCGGCUAUGUCCCUUGGGAAACGCUAUGUGAAUAGGUUAAAUUCGAGGCGCUUGUGCAGAUGCAGAUUGAGCCACAUAUUGAUAAACCACCAGGGGCCUCCUAAGUUGCCAAUAGACUGGCCAAGCAAGAGCUUCCUAGUUACUUGGUGGAGGAGGUGAUAGGCUGCACCAAGCAGGUAUCGGCCGAGGGGAAAUCGGCCACCAUUGGCCAGAUUUUCUGCUGCUGCUAGAUAAACAGAAGUUGGUCCUGCCGAUUGGCCACAAAACACGAAUUUGUCUAGCCACAUGUUCAGGAAGCAGGUCUGCUCUUUUAUGUCAACAGGGUCUGUUUUGCGGUAUUUUUGGAUAUACCCCGACCAGCCGCCGAUGGUGCGGGUUUCUACCUUAGCACUGGGUUUGGUGUCGAAAAAGUGGGUGCAAUCGGCAGAAGAAACAUCCAGGCCAGUGAGCAUAGCUACAUCGGCAAGUGUAGGGGAAGCAGGGCCAUGGCCAAAGACAAAGGCAUUGAGGGUGUCUGACCAGAAAUAAGAUGCAGCUAUCAACAGUGAUUCAUUCUUGUGCAUAUCGGCAAUGGACAACCUAAUGCAUUGGUCUAGCUUUCUCUCGCCCCACUGAACUUCGUUGGAGUUGCCGACCCUCAAGAACCAAUCCUUCCACCCCACGGUGGGGCUGGGCCAGGAACGAAAAGUAUCCUUCCAUAGGUCCAAAGAAAAAUUCUCCGCUCUAAAAGGGAUCCUGUUGGUUUCUGCGUUUAUAAGGUUGGUUGGAUCUGGAUAGUGCAAGAGAUAGUGCGAAGGACUGACCUCAGGGAUGAUGAAGUUGACGGCCAUUUUGCCACGGAGGAGAUGCUUGAGAGUUUCGGAGUUGGUGAAGAAGGGGCUUCGUCGGGGAUCUUAGAGCUUUUGGAUGGCGCCGCCGUCGGGAAAGUGAAGUUGGAGUUAUGGAAUGAUAUGAUGGGGGAGGAGUACCCGAGAAGGAACUAUUUAUAGGACAAAACGGGCAAGGGCAAAUCGGACUUAUCUCUUUGCCGCAUCCAUGAAAUCCGAGGGUACUCAGGUAGAUAUGGUAACUGUUCGCAUGGUAAUCGAGGGAUUGUGCAGGUGAUUUGACAGGAAGCGGUCGUUAUCUAGAGAUAUUUUACUGUGCGGGAUCUCCUGGUCGGUCCAUCAGCAACGCCUGGUAACGGUCAUAUUGCCGAUAGGAGAGAAAUGUGGAGAUAACCGUUUGGAAAGAUAAGAUACAGGUGUCCUGGUCAGUACAUCGGCAAAUCCCUGUAACGGUAAUAUUGCCGAUACACGACUAAGAUCGAAAUGUCCGUUUAGGGAAGUUGAGGAUUUCGAGGGAUCUGCGGAAGGAUAGGAUCAGAGUUGUUCAGAUUAAGGCUGUCGGUUGCCAGGUUAGGAGCAUUAAUUGCGGAAAAAAGGCAUCAUUACUGCAGAGAAUUUCGGAGCAUUAAUGAUUCCAUACUCCAAAAUUGGGGGGCAUGUGUUGACACCGUUUUUGGGCACGUGUCCUUGAUCGGUAAAAGUAUAGAUCGGCAGAAUAAGGCGGUGGUGUUUGGUCUGUAGGGAGAGUUGCCGAUGGAGAUGGUUGCCGAUGGAAGGGUGAGUGAACGUGAUUAAGUCCAUAAGUGGUGACAUGUCUGUGCCGAUGGCUACGACAAGGAAGUCUGCCGAUGAUAUAGAGAGAAAGUCUGGGAGUUGAUGAUCGGUCUGUGGAGGUGUUCCAGUUUGUUAUGGGGGGAUAGUUUUACGUUUUCCUUAGUUAUUUAAAUCAUUUUGUAAAUGGAUUCUGUGUAAUUUGGAAUUCGAGUUCUAGUCGUGUCUGGUUGUAGCUCUUUGAGCAGGGUAUAAAUGUAGACCCUAGGGCCUUGUAAUGAGACAUCUAUCAAUCAAUCAAACACACGUUUUUUACUCAUAUUCCAGCAUCUACUUUUCGACGACUUCGUCAUACCUUUUCCUUUUCAUUACGAGUUCUUAGGAAUUCGUCGACUUAAGCUCGGCGUGUUCUCAAGUUCCGCGUGAAUACCUCUUAGCCGUGACAUCCGGGCGCAUCGCUGUUGUCAGGACUAAAGUAUUCGAGUUAUCACCUUUGCCGAUAGUAAGGUCAAAUCGGCUAGCACGCCUUAACGUUUGAACCGGGUAUUAGCCCUUUGUGUUUGUAGAUCAGCUUUUGCACCAACAGGGUGUCGAAUCGAUUGAUCUGCUAGUUGCAGGCACAUUGAUGUUGGUUCUAGGUCAUAUGCUCAAGCUUUUUGUAGACUGAUGCUGGCAUCACACUGACACUUGCUCCGAGAUCACAAAGUGCAUUGUUGAAGUGUUGGUUUCUGAUCGAGCAAUCAAUAGUGGGACAUCCUGGAUCCUUCUUCUUCCUUGGUGGUUUAUUGAGGAUGGCCGCACUACAUUCUUCUGUCAGCUUGAUAACCUCAGUGGUGGGCAGUGGUCUCUUCUUGUUAAGAAUAUCUCUAAUGUACUUUGCAUAUGUAGGUACCUGUAUGGCAUCAAGUAGAGGUAUGUUGACAUAUAAUUUCUAAAUGACCUCUACAAACUUACCAAACUGCUCAUCCGACUGCAGUCCUCUGUUUCUUCUAGGAAAUGCAAAUAGUUGGUGUCGUAAAAAUCUUUCCUCAUUUCUCCUGUUCUUGGUGGUUGUAGCAAAUCUUCUGCUUCAACUGGGCUUUCUUCUUCUAUCACUGCUGGUUGCACUGGUGCUGAUGUUCUUUGUUUCUCUUUUGGGUAUGGGGGAUCUUUGGUGGCUUUGCCUCCUCUAGUAGUAAUGUUCUUUACCUGCUCAAUGUUAGUAGCAACAGGCAGUGCAGCAGCUAACUUCAUUAAUUUAAGUUCUACCCUUUUAUUAAGAGUGUUUUGCUCAUCAAAGGCAGUUAAUAGAAAAUCCAUUUUAUUGUGUAUAUCUUAUAUAGAUGAUUCAUUUGUAUCUAGCCUUUGUUUAACUUCAUCAUUAGUUUUGGUUUGUUGAGCAAUUAUCUCUUUUAAUGAAAGUUGCUUGAAAGUAUUACCUGAAUUCAUACCUUUGCUAUUGGGUUGACUCGAGGUAGGUUGAUAUUUGUAUGCUGUCUCAAUGGCCCUUUAAUCUUCUUUGAACUUGGCCCUCUGGUCAAUCCAAUGGAGCAAAUUUUCCAUCUUGGUUGAUAGUGCAUUUACUUCUUCUGGUAUUUCUUCAGUUUGAUGACAUUGUUGAGCUUCAUCUUGGAACCAGCUUUGGUUUUCUGCUAUCUUAUCCAAAAGUAUCUCUGCUUUUCCAAUUGUAAGCUCCAAGAAUGAUCCUUUAGCAGAUGCAUCUAGGCACUCAUGAGCCUUCUGGGUUAAUCCAUGGUAGAAGGUCUGCAUAAGUAACCAUGUGGCCAUUCCAUGGUGAGGACAAUCUGAUAUUAUCAAGGAUAUCAGUAAGGGGUACCCUAACUGAUGUACAUAGCGAGAGCAUCCGUACGUAAGUCGAGGCCUCCGACUCGACGCCCCCCAGUCGUACGCAUGGUCCUCGACGACCAUAGCCUCGAACACGGAGAGAGCGUCGUGCGAAUCGUCUGAGGCUCGACUACCGGCGACCCUCGAAUACGGAAACAGGCUCAUACAAAUCAAAAGGUCUCGAGCGCAAGGACGCCACACGCCGCCUGACGCGGACGCGGGAACCAGUGCAUUUAAUGCGCCUGCCGCGUUCUCACCUAACCCGUCAGUCACGGGAAGUGUGAUGGGGAACAAGCACAUGUCAUGUUGUUCUUUUUGCAGCCUUCCCCACCACACGAGCCAGAGUGUGGCAGGGCGCAGGGUGUGGGUCAGAACGUCAAGUCAAGACCCCCCUCGAGACACCCAAAGUCAGCGCUCUGGCCAGCAAGGCGUUGCACGACACUUGACCCUCGAGUAGGCACGUUUCCUUCCUGGGGAAGGGUCGGGUGACGCAUGACAACACCUCAACCGCUCCAACGCAACUGCCACCAUGACGUACGAGCGUGCGACAGAUAAACCGGUCCAGGACGGCGCACAGGAGCAGGAUUCAGGGGCGCGCGUAAUCAUCAUCAAGGUACCGAGACAAGACGGUUCGAGGCCACGCCGGUACGGAGGUCUCGAGUAGGUCAACGUGCUGCACCCCUAUCGACCCCUACUCUGUCGCCUAUGCAUGUAACCUAGGCCUCCGCUUGGAACUAUAAAAGGGGAAGCUCAGGAGCGGAUACGCAAUACAAGACAUACAUAGAAGAGCUACCAUACUUCAUCCUUUCACCCACACAAACUUGUAUUCACCCCUGUACAAGCACUUAGGUGCAAGAUAAUACAAACACUCCCGCCCGCUGGACGUAGGGCCUUCUCUUGCCCGAACCAGGAUAAAUCUUUGUGUCUUUUCUUGCAUCACCAUGUGGAAAGGGGAGCACGCAUACAAAUUUUACUCGUUGGUGAGACCCCCCGGGGGGAAACACCAACAGUUGGCGCGCCAGGUAGGGGUCCUGCGUGUUUUUCACCGAUUUCUCAUCUCUUUCCAGAUGGCCACUCUCGCUUCACCGAUUCCGCGCUUCACGGUGAUUUGGUUUGGGAGCCUCGAGUUCAUGUCUACCGGCUUUGGCUAUGACAUGAUCCUGCUCUCGGUCAAAGGACCAGGAGGAGCCCGCAUUGCGCCCGCACGAUUGAGGGCUCCGAGACGGCCUCGCGACCAUGCCUUCCCACCCAAGAAGAGGCGUGGACAGCGCCACCACCACUCCUCUGCCUCCUCAUGGUCGCCGGCUCGUGCCAGACGGGUGGUGACGCAGGAGCCGACAGUCCCGCGCGCCGAAGCUGCGAGUACAACGGCCCGACGUCACGAGGAUCGCGCGACGAUGUUGGGAGACGACGCGCUCUCGUCCUCUCCGACACUGCUACCGCACGGGCUGUUCGCCCAGGGAGAGCGCUACCGUUCGGCCUGGACAACGCCGUUGCAUCGCUCGCCAGGACGAUAUGCCCGAACGCUCAGACGUACGUGGAGCAACCAAUGGUCCUCCCACAAGACGUUGGAGCACGGCAACAAGCGACUGAGCUACCGGAUUUCUCCCAGGUACGAGGCCUCCGCCGCCUAGGACCUGGGCGAUACACGAUCACCUCACUCAGGCAACGGCUGCUGGAGGAGGGACGAGGAUGCUUCUACGCCACCAAGCCAGACUCCGACUCUGAGUCCGAUAGCUACGACCCUACUAGGGAAUGCUUCAACAUCGACGGGGAGGUGGAAACCACCGACGAAACCCAAGAUGCCGUCGCCGGCGGUCGAGCCCCUGUGGCAAGGGAGGACCCCAGGACGCCUGGGAACAACGGACAAGUCGACCCCCCACAAGAGGACAAAGCCACGCAACUUGCGCAGUUAUGGGAGCUCAGAGCAAAGCUCGAUGAGGAUCGCGAGCGCCUUGUCGAGCUCGAGCUAAUCCUCGAGCAAGACCAACCUGGCAGAGGUGCCCGCAGGCGGGCUCGAGAAGUACACCGACAAAUUGUCGGGGACGGGGAGCCAGAACAGCCCGUCAGCCGUUUUCCUCGAGCAGGGCAGAACAUCGUGGUGGCAACGAUGCUGCUACGUAACAUGCCUGAGCCCUCGAACUCCCAGGCUCGGCGAAUUCGAGACGAGGUGCAGACUCUGCUCCAAGUAGUGGCGGCUCAGCAGGCCGAAAGCACGGCUUCUCGACGUCGAGGGGCAGCCACGGAGAAAUGUGAUGAGCCAGUCCGAAAUGAAAGGGAGGUGUCGGUCCAUGAGCAACCACCCCUCGAGCAAAGAGGACAGCACCUGUUCAAAACCACCCCGUCGACAAUCAACGGCGACACGAUGCAAGACACGACAUCAACGAGUACCGUCGUCGCCGACAUGGGGAUGCAGAGGAGCGCGGGUACAGCGCCCACCGCGGCAGGCGAUACGACAGUGACGAGGACCGAAUUGCCCCAGAACUACCAGGUCCUCGCGUGUUUAGCAGAGCAAUCCAUAGCACGCCGCUGCCCAGCCCAUUUCGACCCCCUACUAGCAUUGCUAAGUACAACGGCGAGACCAAGCCAGAACUGUGGUUAGCAGACUUCAGGCUAGCCUGUCAGCUGGCAGGUGCUCGAGGGGACGAUCGAGCCAUCCUCCGACAGCUACCGCUUUUUCUCUUCGACACCGGCCGCAGAUGGCUCGAUGAGCUUCCGGCUAAUCAGAUCCACGAUUGGGUCGACUUAGUCAGAGUAUUCGAGGGCAACUUCAAAGGGACCUACAUACGGCCUGGAAACUCGUGGGAUCUCAGCAAGUGCAAGUAGAAGUCAGGAGAAACUCUCCAAGAGUAUGCUCGACGCUUCUCAAAACAGCACACCGAGUUGCCGCACAUCCCAGACCAUGACGUCAUCCUGGCCUUUGUCCCGGGCACCACCAGCCGCGAUUUGGUGCGGGAAUUGGGCCGGAAUCGCCCUCAGACCGUCGACGAGCUGAUGGACGUAGUGGCGAACUAUGCUGCAGGGGAGGAAGCAGUCGGCGCUUUCUUCAGCUGCGAAGGAGGCAAAGGCAAGUCGCCCGCCGAUGACGACGAGGGCCCCAGUCGAGGACCUAAGAAGAACAAAAAGAAGAAGAAAGCGUGGCCGUUCGAAUCCGAGGCCAUCGACGAUGAUCUCGUCGCCGCCAUGGAGCGUAAAAAGCCUCAAGGGCCCCCAGAGGGGGCUAUCUUCGACAAGAUGCUAAAGGAGCCCUGCCCUUACCAUAAGGGAGGGGCAAACCACAAACUCGAGGACUGCUGUAUGCUAAAAAGGCACUUCGACGGCCUGGGGUUCAAGAAGGAUGACCAGAAGAAAGAGAAGAACGGCGACAAGGGGGACAACAAAGAAGAUGAGGGUUUCCCGGCCGUCCACGACUGCUACAUGAUCUAUGGUGGACCCUCGACGCAGCUAACUGCAAGGCAGCACAAGAGGGAGCGCCGUGAGGUCUUUGCGACAAGGAUGGCGGUGCCCUAGUACCUCAACUAGUCAAACACCCCCAUCACCUUCAAUCGAGACGACUACCCUGACAAGGUAGUCGCCCCUGCCGUCUACCCACUCGUCGUCGACCCCAUCAUCGUCAACACCAGGCUCUCGAAGGUGCUAAUGGACGGUGGCAGUUGCUUGAACAUCAUCUACCUCGAGACCCACGACCUCCUUGGCAUCAAUAGGGUGCAGCUCCAACUAAGCACGGGCGGUUUCCACGGUGUCGUGCCACGAAAGAAAGCGCUGCUGGUAGGUCGAAUCGACCUGCCGGUCUGUUUUGGCACGGCGGCCAAUUUCAGGAAGGACGUUCUUACCUUUGAAGUGGUGGGAUUCUGAGGCACGUACCAUGCCAUCAUCGGGCGCCCAGGCUAUGCCAAGUUUAUGGCUAUCCCCAACUACACCUACCUGAAGCUGAAGAUGCCCGGGCCCAAGAGGGUCAUCACCGUCAGCUCCUCCUAUGAACACGCGUACGAGUACGACGUCGAGUGCGUCGAGUAUGGAGAAGCUGUCGAGAACUCCAUCGAGCUCGCCUCGAAGCUUGAGGCCCUAGCUAUCGAGGCUCCAGAGCCCAAGCGUCACGCGGGCAGCUUCGAGCCGACGGAAGGAACAAAGAAGAUCCCGCUCGACCCCAACGGCUCCGACGGCAAGGUGCUGACGAUCAGCGCCGACCUCGACCCCAAAUAGGAAGCCGUGCUCGUCGACUUUCUCCGUACAAAUGACGACAUGUUUGCAUGGAGUCCCUCGGACAUGCCAGGCAUACCGAGGGAAGUCGCCGAGCACUCCUUGGAGAUUCGAGCCGGUUCCAAGCUAGUGAAACAGCGGCUGCGUCGUUUCGACGAGGAGAAACGCAAGAUCAUUGGCGAGCAGAUCCACAAGCUUUUGACGGCCGGAUUCAUCAAGGAGGUUCACCAUCCCGACUGGUUAGCAAAUCCUGUACUAGUUAAGAAAAAGAAUGGGAAAAUGAGGAUGUGUGUCGAUUAUACGAGUUUAAAUAAGGCAUGUCCAAAAAGUUCCUUUCCCUUUGCCACGCGUUGAUCAAAUUGUUGAUUCUACCGUGAGAUGUGAAACCCUUGCCUUCCUUGAUGCAUACUCUGGCUACCAUCAAAUAAAAAUGAAAGAGUCCGACCAGCUCACGAUGUCUUUCAUUACGCCUUUUGGGAUGUACUGUUAUGUAACCAUGCCGUUCAAACUUCGAAACACUGGGGCAACAUACCAGCAGUGCAUGCUCCAUGUGUUUGGUACACAUAUAGGGUCGAUGGUCGAGGCAUAUGUCGACGACAUAGUCGUCAAGUCAAAAAAGCGAGGAGACCUGAUCCAGGACCUCGAGAUCGCUUUCAGCUGCCUACGCGCUAACAAGAUCAAGCUCAAUCCCGAGAAAUGCGUCUUUGGCGUACCUCAGGGCAUGCUUUUGGGUUACAUAGUUUCCCAACGCGGCAUCGAGGCCAAUCCCGAGAAAGUGUUGGCCAUUAUGAGAAUGGGGCCGAUCCGGGACGUAAAGGGGGUGCAAAAAGUCACGGGUUGUUUGGCAGCGCUAAGCCGUUUUAUCUCGAGGAUGGGGAAAAAGCACUGCCACUGUAUCUACUCUUGAAAAAAGCCGUGCAUUUCUCUUGGACCCCCGAAGCCGAGGAAGCCCUCGACAGCCUGAAGAAGACACUGACCUCCGCCCCGGUCCUGGUCCCACCUCAGCCUGCAGAGCCUCUGCUUCUGUACAUCGCCUCGAUGACCCAGUUGGUCAGUGCGUCGGUGGUGGUCGAAAGGCAAGAAGAAGGACAUGCGCUGCCAGUCCAAAGGCCAGUCUAUUUCGUCAGCGAGGUACUCUCAGAGACCAAGGUGCGGUAUCCACAAAUCCAAAAACUAAUCUAUGCAGUGAUCCUCGCCCGACGUAAGCUGCAACACUACUUCCUCGGCCACCCUAUCAUAGUGGUCUCAUCAUUCCCCUUGGGUGAGAUCAUCCAAAGCCGGGAGGCCACGGGGAGAAUCGCCAAAUGGUCGGUCGAGCUCAUGAGUGAGACCCUCACUUAUGAGCCCCGCAAAGCCAUCAAGUCUCAAGCUCUGGUGCAUUUCGUCGCGGAAUGGACGGACUCCCAGCUCCCCCCGGCUCAAGUUCAAGCAGAGCUAUGGACGAUGUACUUCGACGGGUCUCUCUUGAAGACGGGAGCUGGAGCGGGUCUGCUGUUCAUCUCACCUCUUGGUGUCCAUAUGAGGUACGUUGUCAGAAUACAUUUUGCCGCGUCCAACAACAUCACGGAGUACGAGGCCCUUGUCAAUGGGUUGAAGAUCGCCAUCGAGCUAGGAGUUCGGCGCCUCAACGUUCGAGGCGACUCCCAACUCGUCAUCGACCAAGUAAUGAAGGCCUCCAACUGCCACGACCCGAAAAUGGAGGCGUACUGCAAGGAGGUACGUCGGCUCGAGGACAAGUUCCACAUCCUUGAGCUCGUCCUCAUCGCCCGACGCUACAACGAGGCGGCCGACAAACUCACCAAGAUUGCCUUGACCCGGGGCACAGUCCCGCCCGAUGCGUUCUCAAGAGAUCUGCACGAGCCAUCCGUCGACUUGGGCUCGGGAGCUGACGUCGAAACCACCGCCCUCCAACAAACCGACACCACCGACGCCCUGCUAGCGGCGGCAGAAGUAAUGGAGGCGGAACGGCGGCCCGGUCGACCGUUCGACUGGCGCACACCAUUCCUUGAUUGCCUGAUUCGAGGCGAGCUACCAGAAGAUCGAUCCGAGGCCCGCCGUAUCGCUCGAUGGGCCAAAUCACACGUAAUCUACGGUGAAAAUAACGAGCUAUAUCAACGAAGCCCGACUGGGAUCUUGCAGCGCUGUAUAACCAUAAAGGACGUCCGAAAGCUCCUCGAGGAUCUACACUCGGGGGCUUGUGGCCACCACCCUGCUCCGCGGACCCUCGUAUGGAACGCUUUCCGACAAGGCUUCUACUGGCCAACGGCCGUAGCUGACGCUAUCGAGCUCGUACGCUCAUGCCAUGGGUGUCAGUUUUAUGCCAAGCAGACACAUCUUCCCACCCAUGCUCUCCAGAUGAUCCCCAUCACGUGGCCAUUCGCAGUGUGGGGUCUUGACCUCGUAGGGCCUCUACAGACCGUCAACAAAUUCUCCAAAUGGAUCGAGGAUCGACCCAUCACAAACAUCCGCUCUGAGCAAGCUGUCCUUUUCUUCACCGACAUUAUCCACCGGUUUGGGAUACCCAACGUCAUCAUCACCGACAACGGCAAUCAGUUCACCGGCAAAAAGUUCUUGGACUUCUAUGACCGGCAUCACAUCCGUGUGAACUGGUCUGCAGUAGCUCACCCUCGAACUAACAGCCAGGUCAAGCGUGCCAACGGAAUGAUAUUGCAGGGGCUCAAACCAAGAAUCUACAACCGGUUGAAGAAAUUUGGCAAGAAAUGGGUCGAAGAGCUUUCUUCGGUCCUAUGGAGCUUAAGGACGACGCCAAGCAGGGCCACGAAAUACACCCCGUUCUUCAUGGUCUACAGCUCUGAGGCUGUGCUCCCAACAGACUUGAGUAUGGGUCCCCUCGACUCAAAGCCUACAACGAGCAGUCAAAUAAGGAGACUCGAGAGAACGCGCUCGACCAGCUCGAGGAAGCUCGAGACAUGGCUCUCCUCAACUCCGCCAGAUACUAGCAGAAGCUCCAACGCUACCAUGACAAGCACGUGCGCAAAAGGGAUCUGAACGUGGGUGAUCUCGACCUACGGCCGCGGCAAAGCAACCAAGGCCGCCACAAGCUGACUCCGCCCUGGGAGGGCCCAUACGUGGUGGCCGAGGUCCUGAAGCCAGGGACAUACAAGCUCGCGGACGAAAAAGGGGCGGUCUUCACCAACGCAUGGAACAUUGAACAGCUACGUCGAUUCUACCCCUAGAGUUUCAAAGCUUUAUGUUCCCAUGUACUUUCUGUACCAAGAUCUUAUGAAUGAAUGCAUGAAAGAAUGAGAUCUUUCCCCCGAGUAAUUUAAUUAUUUUUCGCUGGUUAAAAUCUCGAAGUUAGAAGGGAGUACCAACUAUGACCCAUCAUAGUCGACACUCCCUCGGGGGCUAGCAGGGGGGACCACCCCCCAGGUUCCUAAAAACCAAGUGUGUUUUUUUCUUUCCUAUCAAGUAAAGCUCGCACGGUCGAGUAGUGGAGGCACCUCGAGCCCCUUAAGGGCCGAGAGACGACGAGCCUGAGAACUCCUACGCCCUCGGGCUAUGGUAACUCUACUCACUCCCUCACCCUCGAGGCAAUCGAGGUCUCCUCAACAAAAGACCAAACGGGGAAUAUACACGUAGAUAGAAAGGGAAACAAAAAAGAUUGGGAACACGGCCAUAAGCAAAUAUUCACAGAUCUUAUAAACCACUUAAAGACACACUCUUUCCUUAAGAUAAAAAGUAUUGUACAAGGGGCCUCAGUGCCCAGAAUAGGCUCGCAGGCCUCAGUCUGUGUCUCAACCCUCUCCACCAGCAUCUGCGCCCGAGCUAGUCUCGGGAGGAAGCACUUUCGGCUCGAACAACUUCGCUAACCUUUCCCCAGGGGCCUCCGCAUCGUCGAUCAAGGCGUGGAGCCUCUCCUCGUUCUCUGCGUCGGCCUUGGAGAUGUUGGUGACGAAGCCGUGGGACACCACCUCCAUAUCGUAAGAAAAGCCUGAGCAGACAACCGCCAUUGCCCGCUUCACCCCGGUAUGAAGAGCGUCCCGCACUCGAUCCCUCAGCGUCAUGCCUAGGUAGCAAAGCUGAUCGACCAGCGCGUCGCCUCGUGCCUCCUCCUUCGACUCAUCCACAGGCUCCAGCUCCCAGGAGGCCGAGAGGUCAUUUAUCGCGGUCCUUAAUCGACCGUUCAAUGCAACCUCCCCCUCGAGCCGAUCCUUGGUGGAGCGGGCCUCGACAUGAGCAGCCAAAAGCUCGUCCUUAAGCCCUGCAGAGACCGAUGCAUGAAAAUUAGACGACACCAAAAAAAAUAUACCUUGCUAAAAGAAGUAUAAAGAGGCCUACCACGAAUCUUCUCCUCUAGAGCAAUGUUUUGACCAACCAAAUCGGUGUUGGCCCUCUCGAUCUCCUUGUGAGAGCGGGCUAGGUCGGUGUUAGCGACCCGCAAGUCCUCGAUCGCCUUGCCCGCCUACGCGUAGCUCCCUCCUUCUCUAGCAGCGCUCUCUUUAGACGAUCAACGUCAUCAGAAAGGCUGCGAGAUCGAGCCCGUUCCGCCUCGAGAUCCUCGAGAGCCUUCUUCUUGGCCACCUCUGUGGCGCUCCGAGCGAUCUUGCCCUUCACGCAUUCCACCUUCAUCUCUUGGUAGGCCUCUCGGGCAGAGGCAAGGUCAGCCUUGAUAAGGACCUUCUCCUUGUCAAGAUCGGCGGCUGCGUCUUUAUAAAAUUUGGCCUCUGCUCCUCGAGAUGCUCCCACUUUUUGGCCUCCUUCUGAUCAUCCAUAAAGAUAUUAGGCUCGAACGGGUCGGUGGAGGCCCGAAUGCGGAUCCGAUUGGGGCCCCAGUUCUCCAUCUCCUCUUCCGUGCGUGCCUUAACGCACCGGAUGAGCUCUUGGACGGUCUCGAGCGAUCCCCCAUGACGUAAAAAUAGGUCAAUAAGGGAGGGGAAUCGCCCGUCGUCGUCUACCGCCCUCUAGGUACCAGUCUCGCCGGCACCACCGCCGCCCGAUGUCCCGGCUUCAUCCUUCGCGGCGGUGCUAGUGUCCUCCCACGGUCGUCGUUCUCAGAGGAAUCCAGGAGCGAUCCCCUCGAUGUCGUAAACCGUGCCCUUAAUCUCCGACUGAGGGUCCACCGGGGUGCGCAUCAUGCAAGCCAGCGCCACCACGCCAUCCGCCCGCCUUGGCUCAGCUGGGAUAGAAGUGGGCGCUCCCGAACGUAGCCAUGCAGGAGUCGGCGGACCAUAGACCGACAGACCCUCCUCCCCGGCCUCAGGCCUCUGAGGCGACGGUGACAUUGGCUGGGGCGGGCUUCGCGGCGAUGGCUCGAGCGGUCCUUCUAACUACUGACUCUGUUGUUGCUGCUGCCUCUGGAGUUCCAGCAGCUCUUGCUGCCUGUCCUGCUCUAGCAGCUCCUCGAGCCGUUCUUCUUGUUGCCACCACCCCUCUUAUCUUUCCUCUCCAUCUAGCCAUGGUUGCCGCUGACCCUCCUGUAGCUGUUGCUGUGACUCCCGCCCGCGCUCUUCCUCUUCCUUCUUUCUCUUCUCCUCGACGGAGUGGAGCCUGAUGGGCCAAGGCGUCCGCUUUGCGACAAGGGAAGCCUCGACCUCCUCGUUCAUGGAGCGGGCAUCCUUCAAAAGCCUGUCGCCGCUGGACCCACCACUUAUAGUGAUGGGAUCCCCCUCAACCCCAGAUCGG
This 43447-nucleotide long non-coding RNA is filed under the name Sorghum bicolor (sorghum). RNAcentral's name for it is "long non-coding RNA (SBIC_LNC013959)". Lineage: Eukaryota; Viridiplantae; Streptophyta; Magnoliopsida; Poales; Poaceae. The record is from RNAcentral.